Symsagittifera roscoffensis is the source of this 810-nucleotide long non-coding RNA. RefSeq lists it as uncharacterized. The transcript has 3 exons. The record is from RefSeq and is a predicted model, not a curated record. NCBI's taxonomy places the organism in Eukaryota, Metazoa, Xenacoelomorpha, Acoela, Convolutidae.
CAUUCGAAUCAAAUGAAAACAGGCUUGGUUAAAUUCGACUAAUUCGAAAUUUUGGUACUCUUUCAUCUCUAAGUGUUGGUAUCACAGCAGAACUACAAAAUCCUACAAAUUGAUUUAUAUGUUUUUUUAUCGAUAUAUCGAUUCUAAUUUUUUGUUGAUUUUAUUCUAAUCUCUGGAGUUCAUAGAUACUCAUUAAUAUUGAGACUCUUUCAAAUCAACAUGAGAAGAAUAGUUUUAGUUAUUUUUUGCUGGACAUCAGCUCCCUUAGUUCAACUUUUUCCAAAUCAAUUUAAUUUGAUUUCCUCGAAUAUUAAAAACGCCGAAACAGAAGAAGUUAUUAGUCGUGAACAAACUGUGAACAAAUUCAGUAACACGUUGCAAUAUUCGAUCAUCAACGGACACCCAGGUCAAGUCAGACAUUUCUUCGCGCGAGUAUCCAGGGUGGGGCAUCCUAAUACCUUCUGUGGGGGAGCGUGCAUCGGUAGUCACUGGGUGAUAACUGCCGCAACAUGUGUGCUGGGAGUGAAAGCUUCUUCAAUAGAGGUCGAGAUAGGAGGUCACCUCUCUACCAGACCCAGGAAAAAAUUUGGGCAGAAAAUAUUCAUUCCAAACAAUUUUAAGAACUCGAAUAAACCUCUGAACAACAUAGCGAUCAUUCAAAUCUGGAGCCGCAUCAAUUCGAUCCACAAAAUCCCAAUUUGCUCCAGACACAUGGACCUGGGUCAUUAUCUAGCAUUCACUGCAUUAGGAUCUACCAGCAGGAUGAUCACCACUUUACCCACGACACUGCACGAAAUGCCGCUUUAUGAA